RNAcentral lists this unclassified non-coding RNA (238 nucleotides) under uncultured fungus. Its description in RNAcentral is "sequence contains ITS1, 5.8S rRNA gene". The stretch from base 190 to 238 matches the Rfam family "5.8S ribosomal RNA", at positions 1 to 49 of the family's 154-position model. Lineage: Eukaryota; Fungi. The record is from RNAcentral.
UUUCCGUAGGUGAACCUGCGGAAGGAUCAUUACCGAGUUAGGGUGCUUCUCAGCGCCCGACCUCCCAACCCUUUGUGAACCAAACUUGUUGCUUCGGGGGCGACCCUGCCGACGACUUCGUCGCCGGGCGCCCCCGGAGGUCUUCUAAACACUGCAUCUUUGCGUCGGAGUUUAAAACAAAUUAAACAAAACUUUCAACAACGGAUCUCUUGGUUCUGGCAUCGAUGAAGAACGCAGC